This 145-nucleotide microRNA precursor is filed under the name Gossypium arboreum. RNAcentral's name for it is "MIR7502 microRNA precursor family". It matches the Rfam family "MIR7502 microRNA precursor family". The record is from Rfam by way of RNAcentral. Lineage: Eukaryota; Viridiplantae; Streptophyta; Magnoliopsida; Malvales; Malvaceae.
UGUUAAAAUUUUUGUCUAUUUGUACUAUUAAAAACUAACAUAGCUGACAAAAUAACUAGACAAUAACAUGUGGCAUGCUAUGUGUACCUCAUGUUGACAUAUAGGGAUAUGUUUUUAACAAUAGAAAUAGAUGAAAUUUUUAACA